CUUUUAUUCAUAUAUAUGUGUCAAAUAUAAAAGAUUUAAAUGCUUUUAUGUAAUUUAAUUUAAGUUUGAAUGGGAAUGACUAACAGGCUAUUACUAUGUUCUAUUCCAUACAAUGAAAAACGAUCGUGCAAUACAAGUAUGGACUAAAUGAGAACCGGAAUCCACAGUGGAACGAACUGUGGAACGCAUAGCCGAAACCGGAAAUGACGAAUCGCUAUACUAGGCGGAAGUGAAGCGAUCAAAAAGAGGCUUGGAACACAGGGUACGUCCGUUACUAUGGAGAAUACCCGUGAAUUCACAAGCUAAAUCAGCUGAUUCCCC
This is a non-coding RNA of Pelobates cultripes (western spadefoot toad), 321 nucleotides long. The record is from the annotation of a GenBank genome assembly. NCBI's taxonomy places the organism in Eukaryota, Metazoa, Chordata, Amphibia, Anura, Pelobatidae.